GUGUAGCUAACGCGUUAAGCACUCCGCCUGGGGACUACGGUCGCAAGACUAAAACUCAAAGGAAUUGACGGGGACCCGCACAAGCGGUGGAGCAUGUGGUUUAAUUCGAUGCAACGCGAAAAACCUUACCACUUCUUGACAUGGAGGCUAGAUCCUUCUUAACAGAAGGGCGCAGUUCGGCUGGGCCUCGCACAGGUGCUGCAUGGCUGUCGUCAGCUCGUGUCGUGAGAUGUUGGGUUAAGUCCCGCAACGAGCGCAACCCUCAUCCUUAGUUACCAGCGGGUAAUGCCGGGCACUUUAAGGAAACUGCCAGUGAUAAACUGGAGGAAGGUGGGGAUGAUGUCAAGUCAGCACGGCCCUUAUGGGGUGGGCUACACACGUGCUACAAUGGCGACUACAAUAGGUUGCAAUGUCGCAAGA
This 420-nucleotide ribosomal RNA is filed under the name uncultured Anaplasma sp. Its description in RNAcentral is "bacterial SSU rRNA". It matches the Rfam family "Bacterial small subunit ribosomal RNA", at positions 846 to 1262 of the family's 1533-position model. Lineage: Bacteria; Pseudomonadati; Pseudomonadota; Alphaproteobacteria; Rickettsiales; Anaplasmataceae. The record is from RNAcentral.